RNAcentral lists this long non-coding RNA (555 nucleotides) under Sus scrofa (pig). RNAcentral's name for it is "lncRNA (ENSSSCG00050031061.1)". The record is from RNAcentral. Lineage: Eukaryota; Metazoa; Chordata; Mammalia; Artiodactyla; Suidae.
AGCACGUGCUGGUGACUCUGCCUGCCCUUGGAGUCUUCUCUGCCCUGCUUUGUGCCAGGAGAGGCCAACUGCCAUAGGCUGCAUCACUCAGGCUCCGUGGUCUGGCUUCUGGUUAUAUUUACACAAAGGAAGGAUGGACAGAAAGUGCUUUGGAGUCAUUAUUUACCUCCCCUCCUCACGGCUGAACCUCAAUUCUGGCUUCAGCUCUUGAUGACCGGCACCUCCUUGACCAGCAGCUCUCACUGAGCUCAGGGUAAGAAGAAGACAACCUGGCUCCAUCACAAUUCAAUAUGGCUCCACUGGAAUGGUCCUGAAGCAAUUAGAUGUAAACCAUUUAGGUAUGUGCUGAUAUGUUGCUUGUUUGAUUCCUUUCUCCUUUUAUUCCCUAAGAGUGUGACUAUAACUGGUAUGAUCAUUUUUAUUUUACACCUGAUUGUUCGGUAUGACUGUUUUCUUUUUGUUGAGUUGAUCACUUGGUGGAAUUCUCUUUCUCCUUUGAAUUUUGGCUAUGCUUUGUGAUCUGUAAAAUAAAUGAAUCCUAGAGAAGGAUGGACA